Molecule: long non-coding RNA, 250 nt
Filed under: Manacus vitellinus (golden-collared manakin)
Lineage: Eukaryota; Metazoa; Chordata; Aves; Passeriformes; Pipridae
Description: lncRNA (ENSMVIG00005012357.1)
Source: RNAcentral
GUGAUACCCUAGGCCAGGUAAUCUCCAGCAUCAGUGUUGCUGAAGUGAUGGAAGCAGCUGAUUCUGUGGGAAGAACAAGAUUUGAUAGAAGGUCUCGGUUGACUGCAAAAAGGAGAAGGGAGGAGCGAGUGGAAGGGGGGUCAGAUCCUGCCAGGGUUUCCUGGGAAAUGAGGUGAGUGGUGAUGUCUUUCAGCACUCAUAAACCUGGAGAUACAAGCCCUCCCCUGAUCUUCCCUGCACCCUUUGGGUG